AGGGGUAAACCUGAGAAACCCGAAAGGUCGAAGGGAGAAAUUCAUUCGCGUUUCGCCGUUGGCGGGAGACGGUCGUGUGACGGAGGACGUUCGCGUUUUCCGCACCUUUCGUCUGUCGAUCCGAUAGCGAACGCGUGCACUUUUCUCCUGGUAGGACGUCGCGAUCCGUUGGGUGUCGGUCUACGGCUCGCGGUGGAGCCCGGACGUACGGCUUGCCGUCACGUUCGGACCCGCGUGUCCCGGCUGACUCGCUCGACGGUAUACGAAAGGUUUAAGGCCGCUCUUUGAGCGUUCGGCUCGCUGCAAGCGCGUCAGAUGUGUCGGCGAUCGGACCUAGUGCCGGUUCUGACCUCUGGCGACUGUUGGCCGCGAAGUUCUCGAACAGACCUCUAGACCGAUCUGCGACGCUAUAGCUUUGGGUACUUUCAGGACCCGUCUUGAAACACGGACCAAGGAGUCUAGCAUGUGCGCGAGUCAUUGGGAAUCACUAAACCUAAAGGCGCAAUGAAAGUAAAGGUCCGCCUCGCGCGGACUCAGGGAAGACGGGCGGUUUACCCUUAAAAGUGGCCGCUCCGCACUCCCGGGGCGUCUCAUUCUCAUCGCGAGAAGAGGCGCACCAAGAGCGUACACGCUGGGACCCGAAAGAUGGUGAACUAUGCCUGGUCAGGACGAAGUCAGGGGAAACCCUGAUGGAGGUCCGUAGCGAUUCUGACGUGCAAAUCGAUCGUCGGAACUGGGUAUAGGGGCGAAAGACUAAUCG
This 760-nucleotide ribosomal RNA is filed under the name Catoptes latipennis. Its description in RNAcentral is "eukaryotic LSU rRNA". It matches the Rfam family "Eukaryotic large subunit ribosomal RNA", at positions 411 to 937 of the family's 3401-position model. Lineage: Eukaryota; Metazoa; Arthropoda; Insecta; Coleoptera; Curculionidae. The record is from RNAcentral.